This 254-nucleotide ribosomal RNA is filed under the name uncultured bacterium. RNAcentral's name for it is "partial 16S ribosomal RNA". It matches the Rfam family "Bacterial small subunit ribosomal RNA", at positions 524 to 776 of the family's 1533-position model. The record is from RNAcentral.
GACAUAGGUGGCAAACGUUAUCCGGAAUUAUUGGGCGUAAAGGGUGCGUAGGUGGUUUAAUAAGUUACUGGUGGCAAAUCGGGGCCCAACCCCGUGGAAGUUAGUAAUACUAUUAGACUAGAGGACCGGAGAGGUUAACGGAAUGGUUCGUGUAGGGGUAAAAUCCGCAAAUAUGAAUUGGAACAUCAAACGGCGAAGGCAGCCCCCUGGGUUAACACUGACGCUCAGGCACGAAAGCGUGGGGAGCAAACAGG